Molecule: ribosomal RNA, 501 nt
Filed under: uncultured bacterium
Lineage: Bacteria
Description: partial 16S ribosomal RNA
Rfam family: Bacterial small subunit ribosomal RNA
Source: RNAcentral
AUUGAACGCUGGCGGCAUGCCUUACACAUGCAAGUCGAACGGCAGCACGGGUGCUUGCACCUGGUGGCGAGUGGCGAACGGGUGAGUAAUACAUCGGAACGUACCUUAUCGUGGGGGAUAACGCAGCGAAAGCUGUGCUAAUACCGCAUACGCCCUGAGGGGGAAAGCGGGGGAUCGCAAGACCUCGCGCGAUUAGAGCGGCCGAUGCCUGAUUAGCUUGUUGGUGGGGUAAAAGCCCACCAAGGCGACGAACAGUAGCUGGUCUGAGAGGACGAUCAGCCACACUGGGACUGAGACACGGCCCAGACACCUACGGGAGGCAGCAGUGGGGAAUUUUGGACAAUGGGGGCAACCCUGAUCCAGCAAUGCCGCGUGAGUGAAGAAGGCCUUCGGGUUGUAAAGCUCUUUUGUCAGGGAAGAAACACCGGCUCUAACACAGUCUGGGAAUGACGGUACCUGAAGAAUAAGCACCGGCUAACUACGUGCCAGCCGCCGCCGUAA